Molecule: ribosomal RNA, 569 nt
Filed under: Natrialba hulunbeirensis
Lineage: Archaea; Methanobacteriati; Methanobacteriota; Halobacteria; Halobacteriales; Natrialbaceae
Description: bacterial SSU rRNA
Rfam family: Archaeal small subunit ribosomal RNA
Source: RNAcentral
AGUUUAGACUCGUAGCAGAUAGCUCAGUAACACGUGGCCAAACUACCCUAUGGAUCCGGACAACCUCGGGAAACUGAGGCUAAUCCGGAAUAGCGCUCUCAUCCUGGAGUGGAGAGAGCCUGAAACGCUCCGGCGCCAUAGGAUGUGGCUGCGGCCGAUUAGGUAGACGGUGGGGUAACGGCCCACCGUGCCAGUAAUCGGUACGGGUUGUGAGAGCAAGAGCCCGGAGACGGUAUCUGAGACAAGAUACCGGGCCCUACGGGGCGCAGCAGGCGCGAAACCUUUACACUGCACGCCAGUGCGAUAAGGGGACUCCAAGUGCGAGGGCAUAUAGUCCUCGCUUUUCACCACCGUAAGGUGGUGGUGGAAUAAGUGCUGGGCAAGACCGGUGCCAGCCGCCGCGGUAAUACCGGCAGCACAAGUGAUGACCGCUGUUAUUGGGCCUAAAGCGUCCGUAGCUGGCCAGGCAAGUCCAUCGGGAAAUCUCUCCGCUUAACGGAGAGGCGUCCGGUGGAAACUGCCUGGCUUGGGACCGGAAGACCAGAGGGGUACGUCUGGGGUAGGAGUGA